GACGAACGCUGGCGGCGUGCUUAACACAUGCAAGUCGAACGGUAAGGCCCUUCGGGGUACACGAGUGGCGAACGGGUGAGUAACACGUGGGUGAUCUGCCCUGCACUUCGGGAUAAGCCUGGGAAACUGGGUCUAAUACCGGAUAGGACUCCGGACUGCAUGGUCUGGGGUGGAAAGCGUUUGCGGUGUGGGAUGGGCCCGCGGCCUAUAAGCUUGUUGGUGGGGUGAUGGCCUACCAAGGCGACGACGGGUAGCCGGCCUGAGAGGGGGACCGGCCACACUGGGACUGCGAUACGGCCCAGACUCCUACGGGAGGCAGCAGUGGGGAAUAUUGCACGAUGGGCGCAAGCCUGAUGCAGCGACGCCGCGUGAGGGAUGACGGCCUUCGGGUUGUAAACCUCUUUCAGCACCGACGAAGCGCAAGUGACGGUAGGUGCAGAAGAAGGACCGGCCAACUACGUGCCAGCCGCCGCAGUAA
This 478-nucleotide ribosomal RNA is filed under the name uncultured bacterium. RNAcentral's name for it is "partial 16S ribosomal RNA". It matches the Rfam family "Bacterial small subunit ribosomal RNA", at positions 28 to 523 of the family's 1533-position model. The record is from RNAcentral.